CUUYUUUGAAGCCUUCCACACAGCGACUCUAACCGUGUGUGCAGUCUAGAAAUAGGCAACGUUACCCCUGUGCUGGAACACUACUUAACGGUGGUGGAUCAGCAGCCAGUUUGUCCUGGUCCACAGAUUAGGUGGUGGCGGUCCCCGGGAAUGCCCGUGGGAUGAAGAUAUAAUCGGUCCCCAUCGCUGUCGAUGGUGGAGCCACGUUCCGUAGGUGAACCUGCGGAAGGAUCAUUAUCGAGUUAGGGUCCUCCGGGCCCCAUCUCCAACCCUUGUCUAUCUCACCAUGUUGCUUUGGCGGGCCCGUCUUUCCACCGGACCGCCGGAGGGUCUGCCCUCUGGCCCGCGCCCGUCAGUAGCCCCCAUAAAUUCGUCUAACAGUGGAUGUCUAAGUUUGAAAAUAAUAACUAAAACUUUCAACAACGGAUCUCUUGGUUCUGGSAUCCAUGAARAACSCMGCGAAAUGSGAUAAGUAAUGSGAAUUGSARAAUUCCSUGAGUCAUCGAAUCUUUGAACGCACMUUGSGCCCUUUGGKAUUCCGAGGGGCAUGSCUGGUCNARCGKCAUUAUCAACCCUCAAGCCCGGCUUGGUGUUGGGUCCCACCGUUUUGAAAAAAAGGUGGACCCGAAAGAGAAUGGCAGAGCCUGCGUGGACCCUGGAUGCAAUGAGCUUUUAAGCACGCUUCCGGACGGUCCUCCGGCUUGGUCUUAACCAAAUCUCCUCAGAUUGACCUCGGAUCAGGUAAGGAUACCCGCUGAACUUAAGCAUAUCAAUAAGCGGAGGAAAAGAAACCAACAGGGAUUGCCUCAGUAACGGCGAGUGAAGCGGCAACAGCUCAAAUUUGAAAUCUGGCUCCUCUGGGGGUCCGAGUUGUAAUUUGUAGAGGAUGCUUCGGGUAAGGUUACGGUCUAAUUUGCUUGGAACAGCGAGUCAUAGAGGGUGAGAAUCCCGUCUUGGACCGUGAGCCGCGCCCGUGUGAAGCUCCUUCGACGAGUCGAGUUGUUUGGGAAUGCAGCUCUAAAUGGGUGGUAAAUUUCAUCUAAAGCUAAAUAUUGGCCAGAGACCGAUAGCGCACAAGUAGAGUGAUCGAAAGAUGAAAAGCACUUUGAAAAGAGAGUUAAACAGUAUGUGAAAUUGUUGAAAGGGAAGCGCUUGCAAUCAGACUUGCGUGUAACGGUUCCCCGGGUCUCUUUUGACCCGGUUACUCCGUUAUAUCCAGGCCAACAUCGGUUCAGGUGGUCGGUGAAAGACCCCGGGAAUGUAUCCACCUUCGGGUCGACUUAUAGCCCGGGGUGUAAUGCGGCCCACCCGGACCGAGGAACG
RNAcentral lists this ribosomal RNA (1323 nucleotides) under Verrucaria praetermissa. RNAcentral describes it as "eukaryotic LSU rRNA". The stretch from base 728 to 1323 matches the Rfam family "Eukaryotic large subunit ribosomal RNA", at positions 1 to 598 of the family's 3401-position model. The record is from RNAcentral. Lineage: Eukaryota; Fungi; Ascomycota; Eurotiomycetes; Verrucariales; Verrucariaceae.